Molecule: ribosomal RNA, 491 nt
Filed under: uncultured bacterium
Lineage: Bacteria
Description: bacterial SSU rRNA
Rfam family: Bacterial small subunit ribosomal RNA
Source: RNAcentral
GAUGAACGCUAGCGGGAGGCUUAACACAUGCAAGUCGAGGGGCAGCAUAGGGUAGCAAUACUCUGAUGGCGACCGGCAAACGGGUGAGUAACGCGUAUGCAACCUACCCUGUACAGGGGGAUAACCCGGAGAAAUUCGGACUAAUAUCCCGUAAUAAUAUCCGGAGGCAUCUUUGGAUAUUUAAAGUUCCGACGGUACGGGAUGGGCAUGCGUAACAUUAGCUGGUUGGUAAGGUAACGGCUUACCAAGGCUAUGAUGUUUAGGGGUCCUGAGAGGGUGGUCCCCCACACUGGUACUGAGACACGGACCAGACUCCUACGGGAGGCAGCAGUGAGGAAUAUUGGUCAAUGGGCGCAAGCCUGAACCAGCCAUCCCGCGUGCAGGAAGACGGCCCGUACUGGGUUGGUAAACUGCUUUUCCUAGGGAGAGAAACUUACGCACGUGUUGCGUGACUGACGGUACCCUGGGAAUAAGCAUCGGCUAACUCCGUG